GACGAACGCUGGCGGCGUGCCUAAUACAUGCAAGUCGAGCGAACAGACGAGGAGCUUGCUCCUUUGACGUUAGCGGCGGACGGGUGAGUAACACGUGGGUAACCUACCUAUAAGACUGGGAUAACUUCGGGAAACCGGAGCUAAUACCGGAUAAUAUUUCGAACCGCAUGGUUCGAUAGUGAAAGAUGGCUUUGCUAUCACUUAUAGAUGGACCUGCGCCGUAUUAGCUAGUUGGUAAGGUAACGGCUUACCAAGGCAACGAUACGUAGCCGACCUGAGAGGGUGAUCGGCCACACUGGAACUGAGACACGGUCCAGACUCCUACGGGAGGCAGCAGUAGGGAAUCUUCCGCAAUGGGCGAAAGCCUGACGGAGCAACGCCGCGUGAGUGAUGAAGGUCUUCGGAUCGUAAAACUCUGUUAUUAGGGAAGAACAAACGUGUAAGUAACUGUGCACGUCUUGACGGUACCUAAUCAGAAAGCCACGGCUAACUACGUG
RNAcentral lists this ribosomal RNA (497 nucleotides) under uncultured bacterium. RNAcentral's name for it is "partial 16S ribosomal RNA". It matches the Rfam family "Bacterial small subunit ribosomal RNA", at positions 28 to 507 of the family's 1533-position model. The record is from RNAcentral.